AGAUCAAAUUGUUGGUCGUGCCUCGGUACGUACUGGCAUUAUUGAUUUCUCCCUUCUGAAGAACCACGAUGUCAUUAAUUUGGUGUCGUGGGGAAUCAGGACUGUUACUUUGAAAAAAUUAGAGUGUUUAAAGCAGGCAUACGCUUGAAUACAUUAGCAUGGAAUAAUGAAAUAGGACGUUUGAUUCUAUUUUGUUGGUUUCUAGGACCGAAGUAAUGAUUAAUAGGGAUAGUUG
Molecule: ribosomal RNA, 235 nt
Filed under: uncultured Glomus
Lineage: Eukaryota; Fungi; Glomeromycota; Glomeromycetes; Glomerales; Glomeraceae
Description: partial 18S ribosomal RNA
Rfam family: Eukaryotic small subunit ribosomal RNA (bases 46-235)
Source: RNAcentral